GUGGGGAAUCUUCCGCAAUGGACGAAAGUCUGACGGAGCAACGCCGCGUGAGUGAAGAAGGUUUUCGGAUCGUAAAGCUCUUUCGUCAGGGACGAACGUAUUUCUUGUAAAUAAUGAGAGAUAGUGACGGUACCUAAAUAAGAAGCCACGGCUAACUACGUGCCAGCAGCCGCGGUAAUACGUAGGUGGCAAGCGUUGUCCGGAAUUAUUGGGCGUAAAGCGCGCGCAGGCGGGAUAUCAAGUCUGUCUUAAAAGUGCGAGGCUCAACCUCGUGAGGGGACAGAAACUGGUAUUCUUGAGUGUCGGAGAGGAAAGUGGAAUUCCAAGUGUAGCGGUGAAAUGCGUAGAGAUUUGGAAGAACACCAGUGGCGAAGGUGACUUUCUGGACGAUGUCUGACGCUGAGGCGCGAAAGCUAGGGGAGCGAACGGGAUUAGAAACCCGGGUAGUCC
This 450-nucleotide ribosomal RNA is filed under the name uncultured bacterium. Its description in RNAcentral is "partial 16S ribosomal RNA". It matches the Rfam family "Bacterial small subunit ribosomal RNA", at positions 354 to 796 of the family's 1533-position model. The record is from RNAcentral.